CUUGUGACAUCAUAGAAGUAGGAAACGGUGACCGCCUGCUUGCUCGCAGGCAUCCAGUUCUUCUUGGUGUUGGGGUCAAUCUGGAAGACAUGCGCUCGGGUGGUGAAGAUGGGCUGUUCUCUGCAAUAAGAGAGUGGGCGUAUAAUAGAAUUGCACAUAGAGAACACCCAAGAAAAUCAACUGAAAAAGAUAUCACCAAGGUGGCCUCAAGAAUUGAUAGGAUUCCAGCCACAAGUGAAGGAUCAAGGACAGGUUGGCCUGUUGGCCAGACGCCCAGCGCAAACAGCUCAGCCCAGUGAGGGAGAGUCAUUAGGAUAGAGGAGCUUGAAACUCCCAACUUCUAUGGAGAUAAAGUGCUGUUUGAUUUGAGAAACCAGUCCUGAAAACCACAUCACCAAAGCACCUUCCCUCUCACAUUCCCAACAGAUGAAUCCUAUUACAG
RNAcentral lists this long non-coding RNA (442 nucleotides) under Pan troglodytes (chimpanzee). RNAcentral's name for it is "long non-coding RNA NONPTRT005465". Lineage: Eukaryota; Metazoa; Chordata; Mammalia; Primates; Hominidae. The record is from RNAcentral.